UAUAACAAUAUAUUGUAAUAAAACUUACAUGAAUAUGAUCUCUCUCAAAAAAUCUUAAUGUAUUCUACUCACCUAUUUUCAGAUGGUGUCCUGGGUAGCUGAACUGUGGAAAGCAAAACCGUGGAUAAGGGGGAACUACUAUAUUCAAAAAUGUGCAAAAUAGAGAAGAUUUCAUUGAAGAAGUCUGCUGUUUUUGGAAUGGGAAAUUAAGGUAGGAAUUUAGAAAAACAUAAACGUUCCAAAUUUCAAUGCCACAUGGCAGGGUGGUGAGGAGGAAGCUGGAGCCAGGGUUCAAGUAACUAAUGAGUUCUCUAGUUGCUAGUUCUAGUUCUCUUUUGAAGAGAAAAGAGUUAUUAUUAGAUAUUUAUCUUUUCAUCUAUAAAAGAAAUACAUCAGAAGAAAUUUGUAGGCAUUCUCCAGUCCAGAAUAUUAUGACUUUAGUAUUGUAACUUGCAUCAUUGUUUUAAUAAUCAGAAUAUAAUUUUCUAAAAGAAUUGUUACAUAUAUUUAAAUUAUCAUACAGAUAAAAAUUGAAGCUCUCAUCUUCUAUAACAUCAUGAGUACUUUUGAGGCAUAACUGGAACAGUUAUCUACUGUGAUUCUUGCUGGGACCAAUAACCUUCUACAAAUACCAGCAUCAGCUCCCAUGAAAGGCAAAGAGCUGACAAGUAUACGGACUGCACCUCCACAUUAAGCUACCAGGAGAAACUUCCAAGUUACCCUCUUGUCACCUAUGCCCCAAAGGUGAACACUGUAAACUGCUACAGCAUGCAAUUUAGCCCAUGGAAUAACUCUGCUGAGAAACCACAGAGUCAAUCAGACUCAAAAUGCUUAAAAUCCUUCCUGCUUGGAGUUUUCCGUCUUCACAUCAAAGCAUUUCAUGCCCGUCAGCAACUUUUUAAUGCAUUUGCUCCUCAUUUGCACAAUUUCCAUUUAAAGACGUUCCUUGGCUGACUUCUCUGAUGAAGUUUCCUGCUUGCCAGGAGAGCAAUGCUAAUGCAGAAAUUACAAAGGGGGCUACACGUCCCUUUUCUGGAGGACCUGAUAUUUCAGAUAAUGUUCAACUUCAGUUUUGGAGAAGCCACUGUUCUUUGCACCAGGGGAAAAGAAACUGAUUUUCAGUGUGAGCAACCUGUGAAGAUAGAGACAAAUCUAAGUAAAUGAGAAUGUCAUUGAGGAAGAGAAUUGAAGACACAAUAGAAGCACUUACUGGACUCCAUACAGUAAUGUCAUAUCUUUGUUUGUUCUAACUUAAGCUUGCAUGUAUACAAUGGGGUUUAAGAAACUUGGCAAGAGUUUUUUUUUUUUUCUUAAACUGAGUUAAACAGUCUUGACUGCCUUCUUUUAAUGAAAGGAAAAAUAAUACACAUAACAAUAGAUUUGAAAAGGAAGAGCCCAAAUCCCCAAGGGCAGUAAUCUUCUGGAAAAUGUUAAUAUUCAUGAGUUAUAGGAAAGUGAUGAGAGCCAACACAUCCCUUUUUUUUUUUUUUUUUUUUUUGCUCCAAGUAAUCAAUUAUUUGCCUACAGCCAAACCAGGCCUUUUAAUAAAAUUAUUAUUACUUAAAAAGUAAAAAGAUAAAAUUAUUAUUUAGCAUUACAUAACUCAAAAAUAAACCCAGGGUUUAUAUUUUAUUAUCUUACACAUCAUGUAAAACUAUUUUGGUGUUUAUAUUUUAUUGAUAUACUUUACACACCAUGUAAUUUAUAAUUUAUUUUUGAAAACAACUUGUUUCAUCAAAUCAUAAAAUGUCUGUACUAAACAACAGAGUUGAAUGAAAUUUGGCUUAAAUAUCCUUAUUUUAUUUCUAUAUUUGUCCUAAAUCAAUUCACCAUGGUUCAGAUUCAAUAUAUAGUUGAUAAUAAGUGAACUGGCUAAUAUAUUCAUUUACUGAAUUUUCAUCCUAUACUACAUAAUAUUCAUAACUAUACAAAAUAUACAAAUAUGGAGUUCCUAUGACUGCUAAAUUAAGCACAUCUAGAUCAGUGUUUUGUCCAUUUUUCAUGUUUCCUUCUCUUAGAAAGAGUUGUGGUUUCUGAAAUGGUGGGAAAAUUUGAAUAUCUACAUUUCACCUCCACUUUUUAGGGGAGAGGUUCAUGAAGAAGUGAUUGAGAAGGAGAGCAAGGCUUGGUUGGACAGUGUAGUAAGUCAGCAAGGGUGAAAAGAGAAUGGGUCCCUGUCAACUAUAUAUAUAGUUCUUCUAGGGAAGGAAACAUAGCCUCAAAUUAGCUUUUCAUCCUGUUCUGACAUUGCAAGGAAAAAAUAGUGAAACUCUUUGGACCACUUUUAUAACUUGCAGUGUUCUCAUUGAGCUACAUUUUUUUAUUUGCUUGCUUUAAGGACUUAGAAGUCUAUAAAGUGCAAAAAGCCCAAAUCUACAAAUAAAAGCCUAAAAUCAUAGAGUUAAUCUCAACAACAGGUGAGAAAAAUGUAGCACGCAGAAUGCCAAACUAAUAG
RNAcentral lists this long non-coding RNA (2455 nucleotides) under Macaca mulatta (Rhesus monkey). RNAcentral's name for it is "lncRNA (ENSMMUG00000052574.1)". Lineage: Eukaryota; Metazoa; Chordata; Mammalia; Primates; Cercopithecidae. The record is from RNAcentral.